Molecule: ribosomal RNA, 462 nt
Filed under: uncultured bacterium
Lineage: Bacteria
Description: bacterial SSU rRNA
Rfam family: Bacterial small subunit ribosomal RNA
Source: RNAcentral
GACGAACGCUGGCGGCGUGCCUAAAACAUGCAAGUCGAACGAGGGAGCAAUCUCUAGUGGCGAACGGCGGAGUAAGACGUGAGCAACGUGCCCCAAAGUCCGGGACAAACGCAGAAAUGCCAUAAAUACCGGAUGUGGUCCAACCUCGGCAUCGAGGAUGGAUUAAACGGAUUUUCGCUUUGGGAGCGGCUCACGGCCUAUCAGGUAGUUGGUGGGGUAACGGCCUACCAAGCCGACGACAGGUAACGGGUCUGAGAGGAUGAUCCGUCCGAGUGGGACUGAGACACGGCCCACACACCUACGGGCGGCAGCAGUUGGGAAUCUUGCACAAUGGGGGAAACCCUGAUGCAGCGACGCCGCGUGGAGGAUGAAGGGUCUAGGCCUGUAAACUCCUUUUACCAGGAAGACUAGGACGGUACCUGGGGAAUAAGGACCGGCUAACUACGUGCCAGCCGCCGCUGU